AUGCCUAACACAUGCAAGUCGAACGAGAUCUUCGGAUCUAGUGGCGCACGGGUGCGUAACACGUGGGAAUCUGCCCUUUGGUUCGGAAUAACUCAGGGAAACUUGAGCUAAUACCGGAUGAUGACGUAAGUCCAAAGAUUUAUCGCCAAAGGAUGAGCCCGCGUAGGAUUAGCUAGUUGGUAGGGUAAAGGCCUACCAAGGCGACGAUCCUUAGCUGGUCUGAGAGGAUGAUCAGCCACACUGGGACUGAGACACGGCCCAGACUCCUACGGGAGGCAGCAGUGGGGAAUAUUGGACAAUGGGGGAAACCCUGAUCCAGCAAUGCCGCGUGAGCGAUGAAGGCCUUAGGGUUGUAAAGCUCUUUUACCCGGGAUGAUAAUGACAGUACCGGGAGAAUAAGCCCCGGCUAACUCCGUGCCAGCAGCCGCGGUAAUACGGAGGGGGCUAGCGUUGUUCGGAAUUACUGGGCGUAAAGCGCACGUAGGCGGCUAUUCAAGUCAGGGGUGAAAGCCCGGGGCUCAACCCCGGAAUUGCCCUUGAAACUAGAUAGCUAGAAUCAUGGAGAGGUGAGUGGAAUUCCGAGUGUAGAGGUGAAAUUCGUAGAUAUUCGGAAGAACACCAGUGGCGAAGGCGGCUCACUGGACAUGUAUUGACCGCUGAGGUGCGAAAAGCGUGGGGAAGCAAACAGG
This 689-nucleotide ribosomal RNA is filed under the name uncultured Alphaproteobacteria bacterium. RNAcentral describes it as "bacterial SSU rRNA". It matches the Rfam family "Bacterial small subunit ribosomal RNA", at positions 44 to 776 of the family's 1533-position model. The record is from RNAcentral. Lineage: Bacteria; Pseudomonadati; Pseudomonadota; Alphaproteobacteria.